RNAcentral lists this ribosomal RNA (440 nucleotides) under uncultured bacterium. Its description in RNAcentral is "partial 16S ribosomal RNA". It matches the Rfam family "Bacterial small subunit ribosomal RNA", at positions 338 to 795 of the family's 1533-position model. The record is from RNAcentral.
CCUACGGGAGGCAGCAGUGGGGAAUAUUGCACAAUGGGGGGAACCCUGAUGCAGCAACGCCGCGUGGGUGAAGAAGUACUUCGGUAUGUAAAGCCCUGUCAUCAGGGAAGAAAAUGACGGUAACUGACCAAGCAGCCCCGGCUAACUACGUGCCAACAGCCGCGGUAAUACGUAGGGGGCAAGCGUUCUCCGGAUUUACUGGGUGUAAAGGGAGCGUAGACGGCAAGGCAAGUCUGAGGUGAAAGCCCGUGGCUCAACCACGGGACUGCAUUGGAAACUGGGUUGCUGGAGUGCAGGAGGGGUAAGCGGAAUUCCUAGUGUAGCGGUGAAAUGCGUAGAUAUUAGGAGGAACACCGGUGGCGAAGGCGACUUACUGGACUGUAACUGACGUUGAGGCUCGAAGGCGUGGGGAGCAAACAGGAUUAGAUACCCCAGUAGUC